This 460-nucleotide ribosomal RNA is filed under the name uncultured bacterium. RNAcentral's name for it is "partial 16S ribosomal RNA". It matches the Rfam family "Bacterial small subunit ribosomal RNA", at positions 338 to 795 of the family's 1533-position model. The record is from RNAcentral.
UCUACGGGAGGCAGCAGUGAGGAAUAUUGGUCAAUGGACGAGAGUCUGAACCAGCCAAGUAGCGUGAAGGAUGACUGCCCUAUGGGUUGUAAACUUCUUUUAUAUGGGAAUAAAAUGUUCCACGUGUGGGAUUUUGUAUGUACCAUAUGAAUAAGGCUCGGCUAACUCUGUGCCAGCAGCCGCGGUAAUAAGGAGGAUCCGAGCGUUAUCCUGAUUUAUUGGGUUUAAAGGGAGCGUAGGUGGAUUGUUAAGUCAGUUGUGAAUGGUUGCGGCUCAACCGUAAAAUUGCAGUUGAAACUGGCAGUCUUGAGUACAGUAGAGGUGGGCGGAAUUCGUGGUGUAGCGGUGAAAUGCUUAGAUAUCACGAAGAACUCCGAUUGCGAAGGCAGCCCACUGGACUGCAACUGACACUGAGGCUCGAAAGUGUGGGUAUCAAACAGGAUUAGAUACCCUGGUAGUC